RNAcentral lists this ribosomal RNA (425 nucleotides) under uncultured bacterium. Its description in RNAcentral is "bacterial SSU rRNA". It matches the Rfam family "Bacterial small subunit ribosomal RNA", at positions 354 to 796 of the family's 1533-position model. The record is from RNAcentral.
GUGGGGAAUCUUGCGCAAUGGGCGAAAGCCUGACGCAGCCAUGCCGCGUGAAUGAUGAAGGUCUUAGGAUUGUAAAAUUCUUUCACCGGGGACGAUAAUGACGGUACCCGGAGAAGAAGCUCCGGCUAACUUCGUGCCAGCAGCCGCGGUAAUACGAAGGGGGCUAGCGUUGCUCGGAAUUACUGGGCGUAAAGGGCGCGUAGGCGGACAGCUUAGUCAGAGGUGAAAGCCCAGGGCUCAACCUUGGAAUUGCCUUUGAUACUGGCUGUCUUGAGUUUGGGAGAGGUGAGUGGAACUCCGAGUGUAGAGGUGAAAUUCGUAGAUAUUCGGAAGAACACCAGUGGCGAAGGCGACUCACUGGCCCAAUACUGACGCUGAGGCGCGAAAGCGUGGGGAGCAAACAGGAUUAGAUACCCGGGUAGUCC